GCUUUUAGUACGUAACCUACCUACGGGCCCGUAACUCUUCCUUCCUGCGAAAGUCUCCGCUUUCCGGUACCCCUCUCUAAAAAGACACUAGGUACCUAGAGGCUAGCCCUUUGGCAUAGGUUCGAGGCACCGAUCAGACGCGAGAAACCUGAAAAGUUUGAAUCGCUUGACUUUGUAGACUCAUCGAUUUCCUUCCUUUUAGUUGGCUCUGGGGCAAUCAUCGCCGCUCGCUCUCGCCUUGUUCCCAAAAGUAGUUUUCUUUAGGCUUCGCCAAAGUAAGCUAAACAACACCUAACCUACUACCUUUUUGGUCGUUCGUCGUUCGCAUCAAUCUUUUCAACGGCAUCACGCGGGAUGCCUCAACAUGUUUCAGUCGUUGGCAAAACCCCGCGUUCGUAUCCGUUGUGUCCUGACUACUGCCCCACCCCGCGCGUCACUUGACCAAAAGAUUUUUCUAACCUUCUAGGCCGGUUUCUUCCACUAUCGGGACAAGUAAGCAAGGGUACCAAGCUAGGAAGGGUCAUUUUGCGCCGCACAAGCUUACUACUAGCGAAAAUGCGCUCUUUCUCCCUGGUGGGAGAUUCGGAUUCAUAAGGAGUUACUGGCUAUCGCAUGUUCAUGGCACUCCCUUUCCACUUUUCUUGGGGUUAGCCCCUCACGUUAUCUCUUGGACUCUAGGCUACGCUUGUUAGUCAGCUUCCUCGCCUCGCGCCCGCGUGAGUGAGAUUGCCGCAUGGAAAGCGUACUACCCAGUCGCUCCUUUACCCUUGUCGCCGAAUUCGGUAAUCCACAUCCGCGAAAGGUCUCCACCUUCUAAAUGCAAGAAGGAUAAACUGGGCUUUGGCUAGCUAGAUCGGUACUCGUCCAACUUCUCUCGAGAUUGUCCGGAACCUCCUGGCUUGGGUGCAUACACCGUUUUAUGCCCCUACUGAACACCGAUCCCCACUUUCCGGUUGGUUCUAGCCUAUAUCGACCAAAAGGCGCUUUAGAUAAAGUCAUCUCGCAUACUACAGCUACCGGGCUCCAUCUCGUGAGUUACCCGAUCCCACCGGGGGUAAAGCGAAAUGGUUGGGGUCCCUUUGAGGCUUAUGUCCGGCAGUAGGAAUCAUGUCUGUCUGACUAACCCACGAUUCUAGGUUUCAGCUCUCCCUUUGUCGGGUCUAGCAUGCGAUUCCAGGGAUUCGUUAGUGAAUCACCUUUUCCUUCACUAGCUCGCUACUGUUGGUCCUCCACCCGAACCUUCGUCGGUAGGAAACUUCUUUCGCAUUAUCGAGUGACCAGAUCGAGGUACCGUGGCUUUUACAGAGUCCCGAGCUCACUAAGUGGCUUCGCUGCUCUGGAACUUUCGUCGAAAAAGUUCACAGUCAUCGCCCUGCAAGACAGUUAGCCCCUUCCAAAAACCACUGUUCUGGACCUCUAUAGUCUUCACUCUUACGACUGUACUCAUUGCUCUUUAGGACACUUUUUGUGCUAGCGGACGGUCACCUUCCGAAAGACGCAAGUCAGUUAGAUGCGUCUCACUUAGCCAGGGAUUCCUUGGGGGCUUUCCCGACGGCAGGCUACCCAUGUGCUUUCACUGCUUCAACGAAACUGAUGACUUGGUACGGACCUAGCAGCCUCGCUUAACCUACUAGCCCGGCUCCCGACGGGGGAGAAGGGGAGCGAGAGGAAAGGAAUUAUAAGUGGCAGCUCAGUAGUUUCGGCAGUUGAUUAAGUCUCCCCGAGCCGACCGGGCCAGCGGGAUGCGAUGACCGCGAAGGUUUCCGCUUCGAGAGCAGAAACCGCUGGUCGUUUGCCUCCCGAUUUUGGACAUCAAAACUUCGUUCCCUACUCGCGCUUUCGGCAACGCGAAGGCAUGUGCGCGUAUGCAAAAGAACGACCCCGC
This 1885-nucleotide ribosomal RNA is filed under the name Triticum aestivum (bread wheat). RNAcentral's name for it is "partial small subunit ribosomal RNA". Lineage: Eukaryota; Viridiplantae; Streptophyta; Magnoliopsida; Poales; Poaceae. The record is from RNAcentral.